Long non-coding RNA from Mytilus trossulus (common blue mussel), 769 nucleotides. RefSeq lists it as uncharacterized. NCBI's taxonomy places the organism in Eukaryota, Metazoa, Mollusca, Bivalvia, Mytilida, Mytilidae. The record is from RefSeq and is a predicted model, not a curated record. The transcript is spliced from 2 exons.
CGGAAGUGCUUGGGAUUAUGAUGUGACCCGGGAUGAAGGAGGAUCGAGAUGAGAAAAUUCCGCCAUUGUUGUUAAGAGAAACGAUACGCUUACAGAUUUGUUUUCUCGUUUAUGUCGAUUGUUUUCACAGCUAAAGCAUAAUGCCAAAAGAGGAAAAGAUGUAGUAAGUUAACAAAAGGAGUUAAAUAGAAAGGUAAUCCUCUACCAUGGACGACUGUUGGUACCAUUAUGGAGGAGAUAUCUGUUGCAGUUUCAAUCCACACUGAAGAUGAAAAGGAUCAUCCAACUAUGACACAUCUCUGGUCGAGUUUGUUCGUUCUGAGGAAAUUUCUAUUACUUCAGAAGAAGACAAAGGAGAACGCUUGUUAGAUGAACACGCAGACCACACUUAUGCAGCAAAAGAACAGCCAUUUGAGAAUGAAAAAAUAUGUACACUUGAAUUUGAUUUUUUUCAUGCUGAUUUUUUUCUUGCACCACUGGAAGGCACAGAGCAACUGAUUACACAAGAAAUUGAGAUAUUUGCAGUGAAUGAGACAUACAAUGAACAUGAAGAACCUUGCCUUUCUCCCUUUCAGACUUUAUGCAAUUUAUAAAAGUAAUCAUCAAUGAUACAUGUAUACAUAUAUCCCUCGCUGUACAGAUACCGAAAUUUGCAUAUAGUUGAACUGUACCAGAUCAGUUGCAGAGAAAUUAGCAUGAAGCUCUCAGUUAUCAUUGACAGUAACAUUAUAAGUGAAUGUUUGAUAAUAAAAAUAUUAUUUAUACCUGG